UACGUAGGGGGCGAGCGUUAAUCGGAAUUACUGGGCGUAAAGCGUGCGCAGGCGGUUCGCUAAGACAGGUGUGAAAUCCCCGGGCUUAACCUGGGAAUGGCGCUUGUGACUGGCGGGCUGGAGUACGGCAGAGGGAGGUGGAAUUCCACGUGUAGCAGUGAAAUGCGUAGAGAUGUGGAGGAACACCGAUGGCGAAGGAAGCCUCCUGGGCCAGUAAUGACCCUCAUGCACGAAAGCGUGGGGAGCAAACAGG
Molecule: ribosomal RNA, 253 nt
Filed under: uncultured bacterium
Lineage: Bacteria
Description: partial 16S ribosomal RNA
Rfam family: Bacterial small subunit ribosomal RNA
Source: RNAcentral